This 341-nucleotide unclassified non-coding RNA is filed under the name soil metagenome. Its description in RNAcentral is "partial contains 5.8S ribosomal RNA, internal transcribed spacer 2, and large subunit ribosomal RNA". The stretch from base 1 to 120 matches the Rfam family "5.8S ribosomal RNA", at positions 35 to 154 of the family's 154-position model. The record is from RNAcentral.
GAUGAAGAACGUAGCGAAAUGCGAUAAGUAGUGUGAAUUGCAGAAUUCAGUGAAUCAUCGAAUCUUUGAACGCACAUUGCGCCCUUUGGUAUUCCAAAGGGCAUGCCUGUUCGAGCGUCAUUUGUACCCUCAAGCUUUGCUUGGUGUUGGGCGUCUUGUCUCUAGCUUUGCUGGAGACUCGCCUUAAAGUAAUUGGCAGCCGGCCUACUGGUUUCGGAGCGCAGCACAAGUCGCACUCUCUAUCAGCAAAGGUCUAGCAUCCAUUAAGCCUUUUUUUCAACUUUUGACCUCGGAUCAGGUAGGGAUACCCGCUGAACUUAAGCACAUCAAUAAGCGGAGGA